GACCGCUUGGGGAGUACGGCCGCAAGUUUAAAACUCAAAUGAAUUGACGGGGGCCCGCACAAGCGGUGGAGCAUGUGGUUUAAUUCGAUGCAACGCGAAGAACCUUACCUGGUCUUGACAUCCACAGAACUUUCCAGAGAUGGAUUGGUGCCUUCGGGAACUGUGAGACAGGUGCUGCAUGGCUGUCGUCAGCUCGUGUUGUGAAAUGUUGGGUUAAGUCCCGCAACGAGCGCAACCCUUAUCCUUUGUUGCCAGCGGUCCGGCCGGGAACUCAAAGGAGACUGCCAGUGAUAAACUGGAGGAAGGUGGGGAUGACGUCAAGUCAUCAUGGCCCUUACGACCAGGGCUACACACGUGCUACAAUGGCGCAUACAAAGAGAAGCGAUCUCGCGAGAGCUAGCGGACCUCAUAAAGUGCGUCGUAGUCCGGAUUGGAGUCUGCAACUCGACUCCAUGAAGUCGGAAUCGCUAGUAAUCGUGAAUCAGAAUGUCACGGUGAAUACGUUCCCGGGCCUUGUACACACCGCCCGUCACACCAUGGGAGUGGGUUGCAAAAGAAGUAGGUAGCUUAA
RNAcentral lists this ribosomal RNA (571 nucleotides) under Kosakonia cowanii. RNAcentral describes it as "bacterial SSU rRNA". It matches the Rfam family "Bacterial small subunit ribosomal RNA", at positions 867 to 1438 of the family's 1533-position model. Lineage: Bacteria; Pseudomonadati; Pseudomonadota; Gammaproteobacteria; Enterobacterales; Enterobacteriaceae. The record is from RNAcentral.